AACUUACAUGACAUCACUGCUUUCUUUGGAAUAGAAAUUUAGUUGUCUGACAUUGUUUUAAAAUUUUUUCUGAUCCUAGGUCAGUGCGGUCCUGGUCAGUUCUCCCAUGAUGGCUUUGAUGGCCCUGUCUGCCCUGUCCACAUGUCCGCACCUAUAAACCUGAAGUCGGUCGAACUUCCUGUUUCCCAUGUGGAGGAAGCCUCACAACCACAACCACAACCAAACAUCAUGGUUCUUGUGUUUUUCCAGGACUGUGAGACUAAAGGUUUCAUUACUUUUGUGAAUGGCCAAUGGAUUUUAAGUAAUUCUUUUAAGGCAAGUACUAAAAUCAAGAGGUUUGUAAUUGCAGAUCCCAUUAGUAUAAAAGAAGCAAUAAUGCCACCAUGUGGAAGAUGGGGAAAAUAUACGUACUAGUGUUUUUUAAUUGACCUAUUAAAGUCAAUUGAUGUUUUCUAAUGAACUUUACAGGACAAGAAGCUUAUGAAGGCCCCGUUUGAUGUCCUGGCCCAUCCACAAAACUUCUUCAACUACAUUAGUUGCUAAAAUAUGGGAAUUAAUGCAUUACAUAAUUAAAUAUGCACUCAUUUGCAUACAUUCUCAAAACUGAAAUCUAAACACUGAAUAAAGCCAAGUUCAAAAUGCUUGUUUCAUUUUGUUGACAUAUUACAUUUAAAUUGUACGAAGAGGGAAUUCUCAAUGUCUUUUUAUCAUUCCAUAAAUCAGAAAAAAAAUCACCGUGGUUUUGGAAUAAAAAGUUGUAUAAAAAUGAGGCAUAUUACAUAUAAAUAGGGUGCCAAUAAAAUAAUUUAAAAAAAUCAAAUAAACUGUGACUCAUCUCUGUUGACCAGAUUGGAUAGUGAUGAGAGUUUUUUCAGCGACAGAGCGGGGAGAACGUUGUUCAAUCUUACGGAAGAAUGGUUCCCAACUCACGUGUUUCCAGAGGGAAGUGAUAAUGCGCGGACCGACUGCUGUUGAUCAGCUGAUGUGUCAAGCAGAGUCCAGCCCUCACGGUUUGUUUUGUUGACGUUUAUUUGAAUCAGAAGACUUCUAGUCAUUGCACGCGCUGCUAAUGUAACAUCUACUCUUUGUUCUGCUACAUUUCUCUUUAAUAUUCGACGA
This 1119-nucleotide long non-coding RNA is filed under the name Carassius auratus (goldfish). RNAcentral's name for it is "lncRNA (ENSCARG00000034621.1)". Lineage: Eukaryota; Metazoa; Chordata; Actinopteri; Cypriniformes; Cyprinidae. The record is from RNAcentral.